CUCUGUCUCAUCUAUCUUUCUUUUCCUUUCUUUCUCUGUGUCUCAUCUUUCUUUCUUUUCCUUUCUUUCUCUUUAUCUGCCCCUUUCUCUCUCUCUCUCUCUUUCUCUUUUUCUCUUUUUUUCUUUCUUUCUAUUUUUUUUCUUUCCCUCUCUUAGUUAUAAUCAUGAUGCAUGUUUUCCUUUGAGCCUGACAGUUAAAUUAGUUUAAUUUUGGAGUCAGUGUUAAGCCUUUGUGUGACAUAAUAUAUACCUCCUUAUUAACAAAUAUGCAAGCUAUCACUAAAUUUAAACACACAUACACAUACAUACAAACCAACAUGUUAUGCAUUAUACUGGAUGAGUAUACGAACAUACAGAAACACACAAACAUAUAUGCAUAUACUCAUAAGCACAAAUAUAUAAGUAUGUGUGUUUGUAAACUUAACCUAUGUUACUUGUGUUGUGUGUGUGUAACUGUUCAACAUUUGUGAACCAAUAUGUAAAAAAAUAAAACAUAUUAAUAAGGCUAAUUCUUCAAGAUUAUUCCACUUAAGCUGAAGAAUAAUCAUUAAUUAUAACCAAGAUGAUGACCAGAAACAAGGAAACAUCAUCCUCUCUCCCAGCAAACAAACAAAGAAAACCAAAAAGCAUCGAAGAGAAAAAGAAAAGAAAAGAAAACAAUUGAAAGAAAAAUAAAAGAGAGGAUUUGAAAAAAACAAAAAAAAACGAUAAAGCAGGAAUAUAUACAAACAUUUCAAAAACUAAAAUAAUACAAGAAAAUAGACGAACUGGAGACACGCUUGUCAGGUAAAUCCACGCCAGGCUAUGGUGUACGUUCCUGUCCCAUCGUGGUCUGUUCAACGAAGUUCUUCUCUAGUUCUCUCUACUUGUUCACGGAAGAACACUGGAUCCGCCUUGAGUGUGACGUUAGUGUGUGUGCCAAGCGUGCAAACCAACUUUUUUUUUCCUCUUUUAUUGCAAGAGAAUUAAGUCCUAUAAAAGGCUGGAAAAAAAGUUGAAAAGUUCGUCCUCAACCAACGUCAAAACUGAGGCCAAAGUAGCGGUAGUUAUAGUGGAAUAGUAGUAUUCCUUGACCAAAACCUCCAGGGACAGCGCGGAAGGAGGGGGACGCCAAGAGACCAACUGCGACAGAGAAGAAAGAUGGCGAACGAGAGGAACCGAGUCGUAACGAAACCCUUUGAGGAACAACUCCACCGCCUGCUUCCUUUCCCUGCUACUGCUUGUGCUUCUGCUUCGUGGACAAGGUUCUCUCGCGCACUGCCGGACUUGCUGGAAGAAUCCGUUUCUCACAGACAAGAAUGUGUCAUAAACUGUUCCAGAACAUUUCGAUGGAUGGAACAACAAAGUCGGAAUUGGCUACGAAGGGUAAAGAUGUUGCAGAAAAUAAGUCAUAUAGGGUUAGAUGAUAUUGUUAAGGCAUAUUGUUAGUCAUGUCUUCAUGACAAAAGAUUUCGUGACCUCAAGGUUCGGGAUCAAAGUGCAUGUACAUCAUUCGAAGUGGAUGAGAGAGAGAGAGAGAGAGAGAGAGAGAGAGAGAGAGAGAGAGAGAGAGAGAGAGAGAGAGAGAGAGAGAGAGAGAGAGAGAGACAGACAGACAGAUAGACACACAAACACACAGAUAGAUAGACAGACAGACAGACAAACAGAAAGAAAGAAACAGACACAAUGAAACAGACAGAUUGUUACUGAAUAAAUUUUGUAUUUGCACUUUACACAUCAGUAACACCAGCAUCUUCAGUUCUAUACUGUAGGAUAUGUUUGGCAAAUGAAAAAAAAAAAAAGUAUGCAUGGAUGCGUACAAAGUUGUAGUUAAUAAUAAGGAAGAAGAGGGAAAGAGAGUGAUAAAACGAAUAUUAUGUUAAGAAGAGAUCACGGAAGAUGAGAGGGGAAGAGCCAGACACAGAUACAGACACAGACAGACUGGCAAACAAAGGCAAAGAUAGAGAAGGAAAGAAAGAGAGAGAGAGAGAAAGUGAGAGAGAGACGACAGACAGACAGAGAAAAAGAGAGAGACAGAGAAAGAAAGAAAGAGAAAGAGACAGACAGUCAGACAGACAGACUGAGAAAGAAACAGAGAACAGCGAAAGACAGACAGGGAAGUGAGAGGAAAGGAAGAGAAAAGCAAAAUAAAAAGAAGAAUAAGUAAGGAAGGUCAAAGGAGAAAAAAAAUCAAGAGAAGCGGAAAGAGGAAAGAGAAAGCUAAAAAAAAUCAUAAUAAAAGUGAAAAGGUAAAUAAAAGGAGGAAACUGAAGGGAAUAAAAAGAGAGGAAGAGAAAGAGGAUUAGCGAAAGGGGGAAGGGGAAGAAGAGGGAUAACAAAUCAUGGAAGAUAGAUGGAGAAGAGGAAGAUUUUAAGAGGAAAAGAAAGAAAUAAGAAUGGUAAAUGAUGAGGCAAAAUAGGCGAAAUAAAAGAAAGUUUAAACAUAAAAAAGAAUAAUUUGGAUAUAAAGGACAGAGAGAAAGAGAGAGAGAGAGAGAGAGAGAGAGAGAGAGAGAGAGAGAGAGAGAGAGAGAGAGAGAGAGAGA
Molecule: long non-coding RNA, 2525 nt
Organism: Penaeus indicus
Lineage: Eukaryota; Metazoa; Arthropoda; Malacostraca; Decapoda; Penaeidae
Exons: 2
Source: RefSeq, a predicted model, not a curated record